CUAGCUCUGCAGCCAUUGGACCCGAUGGCAUGACAAAGAGAGGUCCCUGGUCUGCUGAGUACUGGGACUGGCACAGAGAGGCUCUGUGACCGACGUGGAUCAUCCCAACCGGAGUACUCGGUGGCAGCGGAGAACUGCGGUGCUCCUGGGCGGUGCAAGAACUGCAGGGAUAUCUGUGGCUCUUCAAGAAGUCAGCAAGAAAUGGGAAGCUGCAUUUCCUGGAAUGCCCUGGAACCCGACUUUGCUGACUGGUAACUGGCUGCCCAUAUAGCUCUGUGGCUGUGGGACUUGACAGCUGGAAGAAGGUAGGCCUUCGGACCGCUGCAGGUUGGGCAUGGAGCGGCUCUGUGAUGGGUGCAGUGGAGCACGUGGAUCGUGCCGGCAGGUGCACUUGGUGAGUUUUUCUAGUGCUGCUGAGCAUGCAGACUUCCCCACAUGCCCCAGUUGUGCCCGGAUCUCCAAACUCCUUUGCAUCAUUGUGUCUCACAGCGCCAGGCAUCUCUCUGCGGUGCUGCCGGUGGCAGCGGAGAACUGUGGUGUAAGAACUACAGGGAGAUCAGUGGCUCUUCAUGAAGUCAUCAAGAAACGGGAAGCUGCAUUUCCUGGAAUGGCCCAGAACCCAUCUUGUCUGUCCGGUGGCAGCGGAGAACUGCGGUGCUCCUGGGCAGUGCAAGAACUGCAGGGAGAUCCGUGGCUGCUCUUGAAGUCAGCAAGAAACAGAAAGCUGCAUUUCCUGGAAUGCCCUGGAACUCAGCUUUCCUGACUGCGUACUGUUUGCUGUAAUGGGGAAGGGCAACGUACCCCCACCAGCGUUUCUCCAUUAUGUAGUGUGACUGAAUAUAGUGCUGCUAGAGCUCAGUACUACACUUUAGGGAACCCUGAAGGCUGCCUCUGCUUUUCUUCCUUCUCCUUGCCUCUGUCCUUUCCCUGUGGUGUUCUCCUUGUCCUUACCUUAGCCUUUGUUUUCUCGUGCUGAUUUCUUUACCUUGCAUUUCAGUUCCCGGCAGUGUUCUCCUGGGCUUUGGCCUUGGCCUGGGCCUGGGCCUGCGGUGUGGUGUUCUCCUUGGCCUAGGCACUUGGCCUGGGCUUGGGCUUUUGCUGAGGCAUUCUCCUUGGCAUUUGGCCUGGGCCUGGGCCUUU
RNAcentral lists this long non-coding RNA (1140 nucleotides) under Numida meleagris (helmeted guineafowl). Its description in RNAcentral is "lncRNA (ENSNMEG00000002902.1)". The record is from RNAcentral. Lineage: Eukaryota; Metazoa; Chordata; Aves; Galliformes; Numididae.